Molecule: ribosomal RNA, 202 nt
Filed under: uncultured bacterium
Lineage: Bacteria
Description: partial 16S ribosomal RNA
Rfam family: Bacterial small subunit ribosomal RNA
Source: RNAcentral
UACGGAGGGUGCGAGCGUUGUCCGGAAUCAUUGGGCGUAAAGGGCGCGUAGGUGGCCCGGUCAGUUCGUGGUGAAAGCGCGGGGCUCAACCCUGCGUCGGCCAUGAAUACUGCCGCGGCUGGAGCACUGUAGAGGCAGGCGGAAUUCCGGGUGGUAGCGGUGGAAUGCGUAGAGAUCCGGAAGAACACCGGUGGCGAAGGCG